CUUCCGAACUAUUUCAAUGAAGUUCGCGGGAAAUGCCGAAUUCCUGUUCGGCCGAGGUCACCAUCCUUAAUCUGAGGGUAACGGCUUCAAAUUCAAUUUCUCCCAAACCGCCAACUGAAGCAGAAGUGUCGCGCCUUUUUUGUCCGUGAUUCGUUUCUUGUUGAAGUUGUCAAGUUUGCUUAACAAACGUAGUGUGUGCGUUAGGAUCAGUUUUGUGCGUUUCUCGAAGAAAUUGUCCAGCUGACCGCUACGUUUGUCGCAGGCAACCGCGUCACACCGCCAUCGUUGGGACGAAAGAUUCCCGGCAUCCGUCGCCGGAGGGACCAACCCGUCAACACGUUGGUCCCAAUUCUAAUCGUGGUCGCCUAUUGCAACGCAUCGUCACUGAGAGGGAGUGCCGAGCGGCCUACGACCCCCCCCCCCUGUGGGUGAAUUGGCCACGUCACCAACGGCCAUUCAUCGCUGCGAACGCCGAUCGCUUUCCGCCGUCUACCAAGAGCGCAGCAGUACCGGUAGGCGAACAACAGUCGGUGAGUCAAGCGAUCUCUUUUUUGUCGAGUGGGGCGUCCGGUGAGG
Long non-coding RNA from Armigeres subalbatus, 576 nucleotides. RefSeq lists it as uncharacterized. The record is from RefSeq and is a predicted model, not a curated record. The transcript is spliced from 3 exons. Lineage: Eukaryota; Metazoa; Arthropoda; Insecta; Diptera; Culicidae.